UGAACCUAACAAAUGAAUUUUUAUUUAUAAUAGUGAUCGGAUGAUAUAUUUUCAAAAACCUCUUGUAAUAUUCACUUUUUUAUUAGGUAAAAAACAAUGUGAGUUCUAUUAUUAUAUAUGAAUUACAUUUUUAAAGUGUGGAUGCUGAGUUGAAAAGAAACCGUUCUCAGAAGUUUUCACAAACAAAAUAAUAAGUGUAACAAAAAAACAAAAUAAUAAGUGAAUUGUUA
RNAcentral lists this long non-coding RNA (230 nucleotides) under Medicago truncatula (barrel medic). Its description in RNAcentral is "long non-coding RNA (MTRU_LNC001690)". The record is from RNAcentral. Lineage: Eukaryota; Viridiplantae; Streptophyta; Magnoliopsida; Fabales; Fabaceae.